GGCCUAGACCACUAAGGGCCGUGACGUGGUGCCGCUGAGCUUGGACCCCGACCAGAAGAUAGAGAUUGAAACGAUGAGGAAAACGAAGUGCCUAAUCCCCGCUGGACGCUAACUGCAGGGCAAGCUCCCCAGUGUUGUAGUUGUGUUUCGGAGGCCGAGAACCGCUAUCGGGCUUCCUCGGACUCUGGCCCUGGAGGGGGGAAACGGCGAGGGAGAAGGCGAAACGAGUCUCCAGUGUGUUCUUGGGGCCUGGUGCGAGGCCCAGAGAAUUCUCUGCAGGCCUUUGCCCGGGCACUGAUUAAGGCUGCGAAGAGACGCACCGGGCUGCGGGCUUAGUAGCUUCAGGCUUCUGAAGUCAGAGGGAGGGCUGAGAGCUUACACUUCUGGAGCUCCCCGGGAGACGGCAACUACCCAACCGUGUGGGAACAUGGAGGAGACAUAUUUCCACCUAUUUCUCUCCAUAAGUAUAAAAGACCAUAAAAGACCAUCUAGGGACUUCAGAACCCAAAUAAUGACACAAUGUUAAUUUGCAGGUUCUCCCUCUGCCUGCCACCCCACCCAGCAAGGAGGAGAGGAAGUGUUGAGAAGGGAAGAGAUGAGUCCUGGCCCUGUCACUUCUUAGGGGUGUGCUUUUGAACAACCUGCUCACCAUGUAUGAACUUCACUCUUCUUGUUUAUAAAAUGAGGACAAUGACACCUGCAAGACUGUGAGGUUUAAAAACAAAAUCUGUGUUGAGAGGUAACUUGCCUCUUUUACUUACCAAUGAUUUCCUCAAUGCCUGGUGACUGGGGCUGGUUCAUACUAGACGAUCAAUAAAUGCUCCUUGAAUGAAUAGGUGGAUGAAAGAAAUGUCUGGCAUCUAUCACAGGUGCUGGCACUGAUAAGUGCUUGAUAAAUAGGCUGGCUGACUGUGAGUGAUGCUGACGGGCAAAGGACAGAGACACCAGGAAGGAGAACAGGACACGAAAGAUAACUGUCUCAGCCCUUGGGGAGUUUCUGACCCAGGAGGAUGGGAACAUCAAUUAUCAAUAGUUACAGAUCAUUAAAUAAUUGCAAGUGUGAGGCGCACUAUAAAGAGGAGGCUCAGAGUCCCCGCAUGCUCACACUCACACCUGGCCACAGACAGGUGACACCCCUGGCUUGCCCAGGCCAGCGGGUCUGCAAUGAGGCCAAGGACCUG
RNAcentral lists this long non-coding RNA (1181 nucleotides) under Homo sapiens (human). RNAcentral describes it as "PREDICTED lncRNA (TCONS_00187663)". The record is from RNAcentral. Lineage: Eukaryota; Metazoa; Chordata; Mammalia; Primates; Hominidae.